Molecule: ribosomal RNA, 884 nt
Filed under: uncultured bacterium
Lineage: Bacteria
Description: bacterial SSU rRNA
Rfam family: Bacterial small subunit ribosomal RNA
Source: RNAcentral
AGAGUUUGAUCAUGGCUCAGGACGAACGCUGGCGGCGUGCCUAAUACAUGCAAGUCGAGCGAGCUUGCCUAGAUGAUUUUAGUGCUUGCACUAAAUGAAACUAGAUACAAGCGAGCGGCGGACGGGUGAGUAACACGUGGGUAACCUGCCCAAGAGACUGGGAUAACACCUGGAAACGGAUGCUAAUACCGGAUAACAACACUAGACGCAUGUCUAGAGUUUGAAAGAUGGUUCUGCUAUCACUCUUGGAUGGACCUGCGGUGCAUUAGCUAGUUGGUAAGGUAACGGCUUACCAAGGCAAUGAUGCAUAGCCGAGUUGAGAGACUGAUCGGCCACAUUGGGACUGAGACACGGCCCAAACUCCUACGGGAGGCAGCAGUAGGGAAUCUUCCACAAUGGACGAAAGUCUGAUGGAGCAACGCCGCGUGAGUGAAGAAGGGUUUCGGCUCGUAAAGCUCUGUUGGUAGUGAAGAAAGAUAGAGGUAGUAACUGGCCUUUAUUUGACGGUAAUUACUUAGAAAGUCACGGCUAACUACGUGCCAGCAGCCGCGGUAAUACGUAGGUGGCAAGCGUUGUCCGGAUUUAUUGGGCGUAAAGCGAGUGCAGGCGGUUCAAUAAGUCUGAUGUGAAAGCCUUCGGCUCAACCGGAGAAUUGCAUCAGAAACUGUUGAACUUGAGUGCAGAAGAGGAGAGUGGAACUCCAUGUGUAGCGGUGGAAUGCGUAGAUAUAUGGAAGAACACCAGUGGCGAAGGCGGCUCUCUGGUCUGCAACUGACGCUGAGGCUCGAAAGCAUGGGUAGCGAACAGGAUUAGAUACCCUGGUAGUCCAUGCCGUAAACGAUGAGUGCUAAGUGUUGGGAGGUUUCCGCCUCUCAGUGCUGCAG